Molecule: ribosomal RNA, 253 nt
Filed under: uncultured bacterium
Lineage: Bacteria
Description: partial 16S ribosomal RNA
Rfam family: Bacterial small subunit ribosomal RNA
Source: RNAcentral
UACGGAGGGGGCGAGCGUUAUUCGGAAUCAUUGGGCGUAAAGGGCGCGUAGGCGGCCCCGUAAGUCUUGGGUGAAAGCCCUCGGCUCAACCGAGGAAUUGCCUUGGAUACUGCGGGGCUCGAGGCUGGAAGAGGGCAGUGGAAUUCCCGGUGUAGCGGUGAAAUGCGUAGAUAUCAAGAGGAACACCAGUGGCGAAGGCGAGUCCCUGGACGAUACCUGACACUGAGGCACGAAAGCCAAGGGAGCAAACAGG